GAAUAUUGCACAAUGGGCGCAAGCCUGAUGCAGCCAUGCCGCGUGUGUGAAGAAGGCCUUCGGGUUGUAAAGCACUUUCAGCGGGGAGGAAGGCGUUAAGGUUAAUAACCUCAUCGAUUGACGUUACCCGCAGAAGAAGCACCGGCUAACUCCGUGCCAGCAGCCGCGGUAAUACGGAGGGUGCAAGCGUUAAUCGGAAUUACUGGGCG
RNAcentral lists this ribosomal RNA (209 nucleotides) under Klebsiella pneumoniae. RNAcentral's name for it is "partial 16S ribosomal RNA". It matches the Rfam family "Bacterial small subunit ribosomal RNA", at positions 359 to 560 of the family's 1533-position model. Lineage: Bacteria; Pseudomonadati; Pseudomonadota; Gammaproteobacteria; Enterobacterales; Enterobacteriaceae. RNAcentral also lists the same sequence under 1 other name. The record is from RNAcentral.